AGAAAGCUUGCUCUUCCCUGUCAGGAGCCGCCUGCCGCAGGCGGGAUGAACGAGAGCUGUAAAAUGGGACUGUCCCAUUCCCACGCUCCACGGCUGCGACCCCUGUACGGGGCAGUGGGCGGCGGCGCGGGUAGGAAGCAGGCGGGGAGCGACGCGGAGAGCCCGAUUUGUCCCUCCUCCAGCCACUUGUUGCUUAUCCAUGGGCCUGGGACUGCCAUUUGGAUCCACACAGGGGAAUUAAAACAAAAAGAAUAAUGAGGCUCCUGGCCGUGGCGGGGUGCGCAUUGGCCCUCUUGCCCUGCGUGUAGCAGGUGGAGGAGACAGGCUCCAUCCUUAGAGCUUCCCAGAGCCCAGGGUUGGCCUGAAGACACCAAAGCAGAGGACAGCCAGGAAUUGGGUCAGAAAGAAAAAGCUUCGUUGGUUUUAAUUAUUUUAAAUAGAAAAGCCACAUCCAAAAGUACCAAUAAUGAUUUUUACAGUAAACCCACUAUGUUGACAUAAACCAGCCCACCCCUGAACGCACAGAAGACCGUAGCACAAACCGUGAGAGGCGUAUUGAAGGACUGGGGCAAAAUCAGGACCGACAGGCAAGCGUGGUUUCCAUCAGGGUCUUACUCCUCUGGCUUCCUAGUUUAGGCAGAUUUCACCCUGUUAAUAGGGUCCGUGGAUCGGUCUCUCUUUCUCUCCUCUCUCUCUAGCUCUCUAUCUCUCUCCCUUUCCACCUCGUGUUUCAUUCCUUUGAAACAAAUCCAGGGAGCAGAUGGCCUCAGAAGGGUAUCUAAUCCAUGCCUGGCCUCGAGGCACGUACUAUAAGCUGUGAUACCGUGCUAAGGUGUUAUUAUAGAGACAAAAAUAUCUCAGACUGCAGGAUCUAGCCAUCCUAUUCUUAAAGUUCCCUAGGGAAAGAUGUUGUACAAUAUUCUUUGAUAACCUACUACAAAUGCUAACCACUUUAAGUACAAUAUAAGAACCUUCUGAUCCUAGGUUUUAUUUGUUUCUAUUUAAACUCAUUCAGGGUCAGGCUACCCAGAGGGCAGUUGAACACCUGUCCGGUGGCUUAUGGGAAUGCCUUGCACGAUGUGCACUUCCCUCCACCAGGAUCAGUGUGUCUGCUGACACUGGGGACCAUGCCUGAGACAUAGGUACAAUUGGGCUGUGCCAGGGCAGCUCAGAGAAAGUGAUCCACUCUGAUUCAGACCCUGCCAGCUG
RNAcentral lists this long non-coding RNA (1209 nucleotides) under Homo sapiens (human). RNAcentral describes it as "non-protein coding lnc-MCUR1-14:1". Lineage: Eukaryota; Metazoa; Chordata; Mammalia; Primates; Hominidae. The record is from RNAcentral.